Molecule: transfer RNA, 74 nt
Organism: Ruminococcus flavefaciens 007c
Lineage: Bacteria; Bacillati; Bacillota; Clostridia; Eubacteriales; Oscillospiraceae
Rfam family: tRNA
About the family: Transfer RNA (tRNA) molecules are approximately 80 nucleotides in length. Their secondary structure includes four short double-helical elements and three loops (D, anti-codon, and T loops). Further hydrogen bonds mediate the characteristic L-shaped molecular structure. tRNAs have two regions of fundamental functional importance: the anti-codon, which is responsible for specific mRNA codon recognition, and the 3' end, to which the tRNAs corresponding amino acid is attached (by aminoacyl-tRNA synthetases). tRNAs cope with the degeneracy of the genetic code in two manners: having more than one tRNA (with a specific anti-codon) for a particular amino acid; and 'wobble' base-pairing, i.e. permitting non-standard base-pairing at the 3rd anti-codon position.
Source: Rfam
GUGCUUGUAGCUCAGCUGGAUAGAGUGACUGGCUACGAACCAGUAGGUCGGGGGUUCGAAUCCCUCCAGGCACG